ACGGGGCUAAGCAAUACACCGAAGCUGCGGCAAUAUCUUUUAGAUAUUGGGUAGGGGAGCGUUCUGUAAGCCGUUGAAGGUGGAUCGUAAGGUUUGCUGGAGGUAUCAGAAGUGCGAAUGCUGACAUGAGUAACGACAAAGGGGGUGAAAAACCUCCUCGCCGGAAGACCAAGGGUUCCUGUCCAACGUUAAUCGGGGCAGGGUGAGUCGACCCCUAAGGUGAGGCCGAAAGGCGUAAUCGAUGGGAAACGGGUUAAUAUUCCCGUACUUCUGACUAUUGCGAUGGGGGGACGGAGAAGGCUAGGUGGGCCAGGCGACGGUUGUCCUGGUUCAAGUGCGUAGGCUUGAGAGUUAGGUAAAUCCGGCUCUCUCUAAGGCUGAGACACGACGUCGAGCUGCUACGGCAGUGAAGUCAUUGAUGCCAUGCUUCCAGGAAAAGCCUCUAAGCUUCAGAUAGUCAGGAAUCGUACCCCAAACCGACACAGGUGGUCGGGUAGAGAAUACCAAGGCGCUUGAGAGAACUCGGGUGAAGGAACUAGGCAAAAUGGUACCGUAACUUCGGGAGAAGGUACGCUCUUGAUGGUGAAGUCCCUCGCGGAUGGAGCUGACGAGAGUCGCAGAUACCAGGUGGCUGCAACUGUUUAUUAAAAACACAGCACUGUGCAAAAUCGCAAGAUGACGUAUACGGUGUGACGCCUGCCCGGUGCCGGAAGGUUAAUUGAUGGGGUUAGCGCAAGCGAAGCUCUUGAUCGAAGCCCCGGUAAACGGCGGCCGUAACUAUAACGGUCCUAAGGUAGCGAAAUUCCUUGUCGGGUAAGUUCCGACCUGCACGAAUGGCGUAAUGAUGGCCACGCUGUCUCCACCCGAGACUCAGUGAAAUUGAAAUCGCUGUGAAGAUGCAGUGUACCCGCGGCUAGACGGAAAGACCCCGUGAACCUUUACUACAGCUUGGCACUGAACAUUGAACCUACAUGUGUAGGAUAGGUGGGAGGCUAUGAAGACGUGACGCCAGUUGCGUUGGAGCCGUCCUUGAAAUACCACCCUUGUAUGUUUGAUGUUCUAACUUAGCCCCAUUAUCUGGGGUGAGGACAGUGCCUGGUGGGUAGUUUGACUGGGGCGGUCUCCUCCCAAAGAGUAACGGAGGAGCACGAAGGUGGGCUAAUCACGGUUGGACAUCGUGAGGUUAGUGCAAUGGCAUAAGCCCGCUUAACUGCGAGAAUGACGGUUCGAGCAGGUGCGAAAGCAGGUCAUAGUGAUCCGGUGGUUCUGUAUGGAAGGGCCAUCGCUCAACGGAUAAAAGGUACUCCGGGGAUAACAGGCUGAUACCGCCCAAGAGUUCAUAUCGACGGCGGUGUUUGGCACCUCGAUGUCGGCUCAUCACAUCCUGGGGCUGAAGUCGGUCCCAAGGGUAUGGCUGUUCGCCAUUUAAAGUGGUACGCGAGCUGGGUUUAGAACGUCGUGAGACAGUUCGGUCCCUAUCUGCCGUGGGCGUUGGAAGAUUGAAGGGGGCUGCUCCUAGUACGAGAGGACCGGAGUGGACGAACCUCUGGUGUUCGGGUUGUGUCGCCAGACGCAUUGCCCGGUAGCUAAGUUCGGAAUUGAUAAGCGCUGAAAGCAUCUAAGCGCGAAGCGAGCCCUGAGAUGAGUCUUCCCUGAUACUUUAAGUAUCCUAAAGGGUUGUUCGAGACUAGAACGUUGAUAGGCAGGGUGUGUAAGCGUUGUGAGGCGUUGAGCUAACCUGUACUAAUUGCCCGUGAGGCUUAACCAU
This 1768-nucleotide ribosomal RNA is filed under the name Vibrio cholerae. Its description in RNAcentral is "partial 23S ribosomal RNA". It matches the Rfam family "Bacterial large subunit ribosomal RNA", at positions 1175 to 2925 of the family's 2925-position model. The record is from RNAcentral. Lineage: Bacteria; Pseudomonadati; Pseudomonadota; Gammaproteobacteria; Vibrionales; Vibrionaceae.